This 506-nucleotide ribosomal RNA is filed under the name Dialister invisus. RNAcentral's name for it is "bacterial SSU rRNA". It matches the Rfam family "Bacterial small subunit ribosomal RNA", at positions 28 to 500 of the family's 1533-position model. Lineage: Bacteria; Bacillati; Bacillota; Negativicutes; Veillonellales; Veillonellaceae. The record is from RNAcentral.
GACGAACGCUGGCGGCGUGCUUAACACAUGCAAGUCGAACGAAAAGACGGAAAGAGCUUGCUCUUUUCAGAAUUGAGUGGCAAACGGGUGAGUAACACGUAAACAACCUGCCUUCAGGAUGGGGACAACAGACGGAAACGACUGCUAAUACCGAAUAAGUUCCAAGAGCCGCAUGGCCCAUGGAAGAAAAGGUGGCCUCUACCUGUAAGCUAUCGCCUGAAGAGGGGUUUGCGUCUGAUUAGCUGGUUGGAGGGGUAACGGCCCACCAAGGCGACGAUCAGUAGCCGGUCUGAGAGGAUGAACGGCCACACUGGAACUGAGACACGGUCCAGACUCCUACGGGAGGCAGCAGUGGGGAAUCUUCCGCAAUGGGCGAAAGCCUGACGGAGCAACGCCGCGUGAGUGAUGACGGCCUUCGGGUUGUAAAACUCUGUGAUCCGGGACGAAAAGGCAGAGUGCGAAGAACAAACUGCAUUGACGGUACCGGAAAAGCAAGCCACGGCUAA